GCGCCCGUAGCUCAGUCGGUAGAGCGUGCAGUGCAACGGUGAUCCACAGUCCCGGGUUCAAGUCCCGGCGGUCGCU
Non-coding RNA from Phthorimaea operculella (potato tuberworm), 76 nucleotides. Lineage: Eukaryota; Metazoa; Arthropoda; Insecta; Lepidoptera; Gelechiidae. The record is from the annotation of a GenBank genome assembly.